This 428-nucleotide ribosomal RNA is filed under the name uncultured Bacteroides sp. RNAcentral describes it as "bacterial SSU rRNA". It matches the Rfam family "Bacterial small subunit ribosomal RNA", at positions 355 to 774 of the family's 1533-position model. The record is from RNAcentral. Lineage: Bacteria; Pseudomonadati; Bacteroidota; Bacteroidia; Bacteroidales; Bacteroidaceae.
UGAGGAAUAUUGGUCAAUGGGCGCGAGCCUGAACCAGCCAAGUAGCGUGAAGGAUGACUGCCCUACGGGUUGUAAACUUCUUUUAUAAAGGAAUAAAGUGAGGCACGUGUGCCUUUUUGUAUGUACUUUAUGAAUAAGGAUCGGCUAACUCCGUGCCAGCAGCCGCGGUAAUACGGAGGAUCCGAGCGUUAUCCGGAUUUAUUGGGUUUAAAGGGAGCGUAGAUGGGUUGUUAAGUCAGUUGUGAAAGUUUGCGGCUCAACCGUAAAAUUGCAAUUGAUACUGGCAGCCUUGAGUACAGUUGAGGUAGGCGGAAUUCGUGGUGUAGCGGUGAAAAUGCUUAGAUAUCACGAAGAACUCCGAUUUGCGAAGGCAGCUUUUACUAAAACUGCCACUGACAUUGAUGCUCGAAAGUGUGGGGUAUCAAACA